Long non-coding RNA from Phodopus roborovskii (desert hamster), 105 nucleotides. RefSeq lists it as uncharacterized. The transcript has 5 exons. The record is from RefSeq and is a predicted model, not a curated record. NCBI's taxonomy places the organism in Eukaryota, Metazoa, Chordata, Mammalia, Rodentia, Cricetidae.
CAGGAACCAUUGGACCUAUUAUGCAAUUCUCCGCGCCCAUCCCUGGAGCUACAGGACCUAUCAAUCUGUCUCAAAGAACCAUCGUGCAAACUCCUGGCCCUAUGG